CAGAGGGUGCGAGCGUUGUUCGGAAUUACUGGGCGUAAAGCGCGCGCAGGCGGCCUUUUAAGUCUACCCGUGAAAUGCCGGGGCUCAACUCCGUGCACGCUGGGGGAUACUGGGAGGCUGGAGACAGGUAGAGGCAAGCGGAAUUCCGGGUGUAGCGGUGGAAUGCGUAGAUAUCCGGAAGAACACCUGAGGCGAAGGCGGCUUGCUGGGCCUGAUCUGACGCUGAGGCGCGAAAGCGUGGGGAGCAAACAGGAUUAGAUACCCUGGUAGUCCACGCCGUAAACGAUGGGCACUAGACGCGGGUGGGAUCGACCCCUUCCGUGUCGCAGCUAACGCGAUAAGUGCCCCGCCUGGGGAGUACGGCCGCAAGGCUG
This 374-nucleotide ribosomal RNA is filed under the name uncultured organism. RNAcentral describes it as "bacterial SSU rRNA". It matches the Rfam family "Bacterial small subunit ribosomal RNA", at positions 526 to 896 of the family's 1533-position model. The record is from RNAcentral.